AGGAUUUUUCUUUGAUUCUGUUCUCUCUUUCUGUUUCCAAAUUAUUUUUAAAACCUAAAUUUUUCAGCCAUAAUGCUUUUAAUUUGCUAGUGUGGACCUAAAUCUGGUCCAACUUUAAAGCUGUAUGAUCACAAUCUCUGAACUCUUUCCAGACUGUAUAGUAACUAUAUGACUGAUGGUAGAGAGUGGCAAGAGGGCAGGAGACUACAAGGCUGGACUGCUACCCAAUCCUUGGAGUUCUAUGUUCCCAAAUGAGAUGUUAUCAGACCAAAAUACUAACAAGGAAGUAAAGUAGCCAUGAGCUAGGGAGAGGAGGUUGGUGAACUCUCCAGGGACUGAAUGCAAGAGAGCUCCUGCUGUGGACAGUGAGGUGCUAAGAGAACCCUGCCCUUAUGUGGGGUAACAGGAGAAGCAAUGGAGUCAUUCACCUCUGAAGAUCUUACCAUGGGAUUGACUCUACUUUCUGGAGCACAGCUACCUUCACUAGAGCUUUUAGGAAAAUAUUUUAACCGUCAUUCACCUUUUGGACCCUCGUCAUGUUAGUGAGAAAAGAAAUGCCAUCUUUUCGACUGAAGAACUCAUGCUUAAUGACACCUCAAUAAUGCAAAGUUCAAGAACAACUAUAGAAUGCACUGUAGUUUUGCAUCCUGAGAUAAGGAGGGACUGUCUGGAACAGCCCAGGUUCUGUUCCAGUCCCCCCUAGAAACACAAUGUGCUUUCGUGUUCUAUCCCAGAGAAUGGCACCGCUCCAGGCUAUAAAACGCAAGGUCAGCUGGGAAGAAUCUGCUUGCAGGUCUGGGGUCCUUUCUGCUCCUUGUGUCUCUUGUUGGAAGGUCAGAGGUUACCAAUGGCAUGUUUAAAGCUUUGGUUAGAUGAUCCUGGACACAUGCUUAGAAGCUGGGACCAGAAUCUGAACUCCAGUCAGCCAUGUGAGAUCCAGAUUCCUCUGUAUAGCACCUAACUGCUGUACCACAGGGCUGGUCCUAUAAUAUAUGUCUAUAUU
Long non-coding RNA from Tupaia belangeri chinensis (Chinese tree shrew), 1003 nucleotides. RefSeq lists it as uncharacterized. The record is from RefSeq and is a predicted model, not a curated record. Lineage: Eukaryota; Metazoa; Chordata; Mammalia; Scandentia; Tupaiidae. The transcript has 7 exons.